GGGCCUAUAGCUCAGUUGGUUAGAGCAGAGGACUCAUAAUCCUUUGGUCCACGGUUCUUAUGUGGUAUGAAUGUAGGUGUGGCA
This 84-nucleotide transfer RNA is filed under the name Pseudomonas sp. MPC6. RNAcentral describes it as "tRNA-Met". It matches the Rfam family "tRNA", at positions 1 to 58 of the family's 71-position model. From Rfam's summary of the family: Transfer RNA (tRNA) molecules are approximately 80 nucleotides in length. Their secondary structure includes four short double-helical elements and three loops (D, anti-codon, and T loops). Lineage: Bacteria; Pseudomonadati; Pseudomonadota; Gammaproteobacteria; Pseudomonadales; Pseudomonadaceae. The record is from RNAcentral.